UACGUAGGGUGCGAGCGUUGUCCGGAAUUAUUGGGCGUAAAGAGCUCGUAGGCGGUUUGUCGCGUCGACUGUGAAAACCCGAGGCUUAACCUCGGGCCUGCAGUCGAUACGGGCAGACUAGAGUUCGGUAGGGGAGACUGGAAUUCCUGGUGUAGCGGUGAAAUGCGCAGAUAUCAGGAGGAACACCGGAGGCGAAGGCGACUUCCUGGCCUGUUCUUGACGCUGAGGCGCGAAAGCUAGGGGAGCAAACGGG
This 253-nucleotide ribosomal RNA is filed under the name uncultured bacterium. Its description in RNAcentral is "partial 16S ribosomal RNA". It matches the Rfam family "Bacterial small subunit ribosomal RNA", at positions 524 to 776 of the family's 1533-position model. The record is from RNAcentral.